This 424-nucleotide ribosomal RNA is filed under the name uncultured bacterium. Its description in RNAcentral is "bacterial SSU rRNA". It matches the Rfam family "Bacterial small subunit ribosomal RNA", at positions 355 to 772 of the family's 1533-position model. The record is from RNAcentral.
UCGAGAAUUUUUCUCAAUGGGCGAAAGCCUGAAGGAGCGACGCCGCGUGGGGGAUGAAUGGCUUCGGCCCGUAAACCCCUGUCAUUUGCGAACAAAUUGCUUCACCUAACAUGUGGAGUAUUGAUUGUAGCGAAAGAGGAAGGGACGGCUAACUCUGUGCCAGCAGCCGCGGUAAUACAGAGGUCCCAAGCGUUGUUCGGAUUCACUGGGCGUAAAGGGUGCGUAGGCGGUUGAGUAAGUCUGACGUGAAAUCUCCGAGCCUAACUCGGAAACUGCGUUGGAUACUAUUCAGCUAGAGGAAUGGAGGGGAGACUGGAAUACUUGGUGUAGCAGUGAAAUGCGUAGAUAUCAAGUGGAACACCAGUGGCGAAGGCGAGUCUCUGGACAUUUCCUGACGCUGAGGCACGAAAGCCAGGGGAGCAAA